Carya illinoinensis is the source of this 1908-nucleotide RNA transcript. It is a transcript of the gene named putative E3 ubiquitin-protein ligase UBR7, with no coding region annotated. NCBI's taxonomy places the organism in Eukaryota, Viridiplantae, Streptophyta, Magnoliopsida, Fagales, Juglandaceae. The record is from RefSeq and is a predicted model, not a curated record. The transcript has 7 exons.
GUUUGGAGGGAACAGAUUUCUUGCGCAUUUUGAUUUGAGCAAGUAGUGAAGAACACAUCCACCGUCCAGGGGUUUCGAUAUGGCGGGAAAAUGUCCCUAUAGUCCUCGCGACAUGAAAACCCUAACCCUUCUAUCUCAGCCAGCAUAAUCUCUCUCUCUUCCUCUUUCUCUCUGAAACGCUCUCCUCUAGUUCAGUCUCAUCGACCUGUGAUUACCCUAGAAAAUGUCUCAUCCACGGCAUCAGUGAAUCUCAGAUACGGAGCUACACAAUUGGUUACCAACGAGUUGCAGAUUCUGCCUAAGUUAUAUAUAGUUUGGGGGCAAAAUGUCUGAUGCGUUUGACGAUGAAGCCGAGCAAACCGUUUCGAUCCAGGAGUACCUCAAAGGCGUCGAGGAACAGGAGCUGGAAGCAGACCUGGUUUUGGGAGGAGAUGAGGGCAAGGAAUGCACUUAUAUUAAUGGUUAUAUGAAGAGGCAGGCAAUUUUUUCAUGUCUAACUUGUACCCCAGAUGGAAAUGCCGGAGUUUGCACGGCCUGCUCCUUGUCUUGCCAUGAUGGCCAUGAGAUUGUGGAGCUCUGGACCAAGAGAAACUUUAGGUGUGACUGUGGAAAUGCAAAAUUUGGGGAGUUCUUCUGCAAACUUUUCCCAAAUAAAGAUAUUGAGAAUGCUGAGAACUUGUAUAAUCAUAACUUCAGAGGUUCAUACUGCACAUGCAGUAGGCCCUAUCCUGAUCCUGAUGUUGAAGAGCAAGAAGAGAUGAUACAGUGCUGUAUAUGUGAGGACUGGUUUCACGAGGAGCAUCUCGGUCUUGAAUCUUCUGAUGAGGUUCCAAGAGAUGAGGAAGGUGAACCUCUUUACGAGGAUUUCAUAUGUAGGGCCUGCUCAACCGGCUUUUCAUUUCUGGGGUCAUAUCCUCUGUCCAUCUGGGCAGCGGGCAGACAAUGUGAUGCCACUGUGGAUACUAAUAAGGAUAAGAAUGUGUUGGAAGAUACAUCCUCAGCUGGUGGAUCUGGAAAAGUAAAGAAUGAUGUUGAUGCUCAUAAUAAUCCUGAAAUUGAUCAUACUAAAUCGAAUUCUGAGUUAGCAUGUGAUGGGGAUGGUACGUCUCUUGGAGAAAAUUCUCAGAACAAUGUGGGUUCAGAUCAAUGUGUAAGAACUAGCAGUCCUUUGACUACCUGCGUUCUUGGAGUAAAGCCGGAGAACACAUCUCCUGCUUUGGAGAAUAAACCACUGUUUCUUUCCAAAAACUGGCGUGAUGUCCUCUGCAGAUGUGAAAAAUGCUUGGUUAUUUACAACGAGAAGCGUAUUGCUUUUCUGCUUGACAAGGAGGACUCAAUUGCAGAGUAUGAGAAAAUGGCAACGCAGAAGAGGACAGAAAAGCUACAGGAACGGGAGGGUGCUGAGCUAAGUUUAUUCAACAAUCUUGGUCAUAUAGAAAAAAUGGAGAUUCUAAAUGGCAUAGCUGAUAUGAAGAAUGAGAUCCAUGGUUUCCUGGGGCAAUUACCAUGUUAUUAACCGAUCGAAGCCAUAGAACAACCUUUUUUGAAGCAGGAUGGGGCAAGGGGAAGGAAUCCUUCGACUCAACAAAGCCAAUCACAGCUGCUGAUGUCCACCAGGUGUUUGAGAAUCUAGCAAAGAAGCGCCGCCGCCUAGACUGAGUUUUUGUUGUCGAGUAAUUGCUACGGUUGAAUGCAUGUGUAACCGUGGACUUCCUCGUUGACAGCGGAGACAUCCGUGUUCAAAAACAAUCACAAAACGUGCAUGACAUGGUUUUAGGCUGCUCUUUUAAGUUAGUAUAAACUUACCAAAAUCAACUGCUUUGCCUUGUAAAUUUAUUUGCUUAUGCACUUCGAAACUUAACUGGGACGUUUAUUAUAAACUGCCGGCACUACUUUAGAACUUGCUUA